RNAcentral lists this ribosomal RNA (3747 nucleotides) under Triticum aestivum (bread wheat). Its description in RNAcentral is "partial small subunit ribosomal RNA". The record is from RNAcentral. Lineage: Eukaryota; Viridiplantae; Streptophyta; Magnoliopsida; Poales; Poaceae.
AUGGUGAGCUCUUGGCCGGAGAGGACGUGGGGGUCGAUCUCAAGGACGCGCACGAAGCCAGAGAAGGCUGCCGGAAUGCAGAAUUUUGAUGCUGCAGGUGCUGACAAAAUAUCGAAAGUGAAGACAGAAACUGACAAUAAUGUAAUUAUGGAAGAGGCAGACUUUGAUUCUGUUGACGACAAGGUUGUUGAGCCCUGGAUGGCAACCGGUGGAGAGUUUGUCAAAUUAUUUCAGUGGAUGAGAUCUGCUAUUUCCUCCCAAUAUUCUGGACGGAGUGUACCAAGAGAGCCAGAAAUUCAGGGUGAAGUAUCGAAAUUGGAUGAACACCUACAAGGUCUUCGAGACACUUUGCCUGAAAUGUACGUCCUCAUUAAUGCAGCAGAGUGGAGGAGCUAUGAAGACUCUAUUGCUGAGAUCCUUCCAAAUUUAAGGAAUUCAGUGUAUGAUGCUGAAGACCUUCUUGAUGAGUUCAAAUGGUAUGAGCUGAAGGUGACAGUGGAGGGCAAUGCAAACCAAUGUCCUUUCAGUGAUUUCUUUAACGAUGUCAUUACAGGCAGCUUCAACGAGAAAGUGCAAUGUGUCCAGGAUAGGCUGGACGAUCUUUUGAAUCAGCUAGAGAAGAUGGGCUUGCAUGAAGAUAGUUAUGAAUCAGUCAGGAGGUUUGACAAAUCAGUUAGGCCAAAGACCACCUAUUUGCUGAAUGAGUCAGAAAUAUUUGGCGGUGCCCAGGAGCUGAAAAAGGUGAUUGGGUUUCUUACUGAACCUAACAAAAGUGGCAGUGCCCGUUCCAAACACAUGUCGGCAAACAAAGAUAAUGAUGAAUCAAAAAUACCAGGUCUUCAUGUCUUGCCAAUAGUUGGAAUUGGGGGUAUUGGUAAGACCUGUUUGGCCCAACAUGUUUGCAAUCAUCCAGAUAUAAGGUCUCACUUCAACCUAAUAAUUUGGAUUUGCGUAUCGGAUGACUUCGAUGUUAUUAGGUUGACUAAGGAGGCCAUAGAAUCCUGCUCUGGAGAAAGGCCAACAUCAGAUCAUUUGGGUACACUUCAGCAUGCUCUUUCUGAACACGUGAGGGACAAAAAGGUCUUCAUUAUCCUUGAUGACCUGUGGGGUGAUGCUUUCAAGGAAGACAGUAAAUAUUGGAAUAUAUUUUGUGCACCUUUAAAAAACAAUGGACGGGAAAGUUUGAUGUUGGUCACUACUAGAUCUCCUAUGGUUGCUCGUAAGGUCUGCACAAUGGAUCCCUUUACAUUGCAUGGUUUGUGGGGUGUGCCCUUAUGGAAUUUCUUCAAACAAUGCAUAUUUGGGUCCGAGAGUUCUAACAAUGAUCCCAAUUUAGAGCACAUUGGUAUGAGCAUUCGUCAUAAGUUGGUGGGUUCUCCUUUAGCUGCGAAAACUGUUGGACUCCUGUUAAGAAUGGACCUUUGUGCAUCACAUUGGAAUUAUGUAUUGGGGAGUGAACUGUGGGAGUUGAAACAAGAGAAGACUGACAUUUUGCCUUCUCUUCAGUUGAGCUAUAUGUAUUUACCAUUCCAUUUGAGGAGAUGUUUUGCAUUCUGUGCUGUGUACCCCAAGAAUUACAGAUUUCAAAAGAAGAACUUAGCUGAAAUUUGGGUGGCCGAAGGAUUUGUGGAACCUGAAGGUGACAUUAAAGCUACAGAUAUUGGUUGUCGGUACUUUGAAGAACUUGUGAAUGAGUCAUUCUUUCGACAAGUCUCCGGCUCAUACAAAAUACCUCAUUUGAUGCAUGACAUGGCAAAACUAGUUUCAAGGAAUGACUGCUUCAUCAUAAGAGAAAAUGCUGACUUUGGAAAAGUUCCUCGGAAUGUUCGUCAUCUGUCAAUACUCUCUGGGGAAGACUUUAAGAAAGCAGACUUGUUGAGCCUGUGCAAGCACACAAAGCUGCGUACCCUACUUUGCAAUGAACUUUCUGGGAGUGAUGAUAUAUCUGCUGUGAUGGACCAUUGGUGCAGUGGCCUUCACCGUCUGCGCGUGAUGUGUUGUGCCUCUACAAAGGAAUUACCAGAUAGCCUUGGCAACUUGAAGCAUCUUCGAUACCUUGACAUCUCCAAAGCUUGUCCUUUGAACAGACUUCCUUCGGCGUUCUGUUACCUAUACAGAUUACAGUUUGUAUAUGCCAGGAAAUGCAAGAUUGUAAUCCUGGUCGAUGACUUCAGUAAGUUGAUCAGUUUAAGGAGAUUUGACUCAGAUGGAUUUGUGUAUAAUGCAGGGUGUGACCUAGAUAUUGAUGCGACCGGUAGGCAUGGACUAGGCAUUGGAUUGAAAAAGAAUUGGUCGGAUCUUAAAGUUUUGCGCAUAUAUAAUCUUGGGAUGAUAAGUAAGGAUGCUGUAGCAGAGGUGGAACUGAAGAAUAAGCAAUGUCUCCACAACCUGAAACUGGAAUGGUCUAUGGAUAGUUAUUGGUACAAUAGUAGGCGCUGUGAGGAAGAAAUUCUCUCGGCGAAAGAGAAUGAUAUAAAAGUGCUUCAAGUGUUAGAACCUCCCUCCAUUCUCAAGUCUCUGCUCGUCAAGGGCUAUGGAGGGGUGUCUCUUCCAAGCUGGUGUGGGCCAGAAAACUCGCCAAGCUCAGCAUCACUGACACUUGAUACUAGUGAUGGACUAGAGAGCAUACCUUUGCCAGAGAGCACAUCGCUAUCCAGGACCUCACAGCGGAUAGAACUAAACGAGAUGCCCGUGGAGUUGCUAGUUAACAGUAACAAAGAAACCAUUGGCAUUUUCCCGUUCCUGACAGAGCUCGAAAUUUUUGGGUGCCGAAAUUUAUCUAGCGUCGAACAACUCGUACAUCCAGCUUAUAUUCCAGCCAUCAAGAAAAUAAAAAUAUGGCAUUGCCCAAGCUUAGAAUCGUGUGGAAGUUUUGUGGGUUUCCAUUGUCUCGAGGAACUGGAGGUGACCAAGUGCCCAAACAUUAACAACUCCCAAUGUUUGGUGUCGCCCUCUCUCAAGAUGCUCGUGCUGGGUGAUAGUGGGUCGAGUCCAGCUGGAAUUAACUGUGGUAAUCUCGCGGAAAAUAUAGAGUGCUGCUCUCUCACCAAUUUUAAGUUAUCAUGCGAUGGUCUGACAUCCAUCCAACUGCAAAACUGGAAUGUUCCAGCUCUGUUGGAGUUGAACAUUUCACAUUGUGGAUCUCUCAAAAGUAUUGGGCAAUCUGGACAAAUCUUCCCAAACAUUUCAGUUUGUGGCAGCACCGUUAGAGGAGGAUUCUCGUUCCUUACUUCCCUAAGAAUUCACAAGUGUGACAAGCUGUCAACCAUUGAUAAGCUCCUAUCAGAAGAAUAUCUACCUGUCGUUGACGAGAUAGAGUUUACAGAAUGUGACAAGUUAGUGUCGCUGCCUGUUGAAAUUGGGAGUUUAUCUUGUCUGCGUCGUUUGAAGAUUGCGGAAUGUGCCAGUAUCAGAUGGCCAAGCGGAUUGGUGUUCCCAUCUUCCCUCCAACGGCUCUACUUAAUGGACUGUGGGGACAUGUCUGCAUUUGUUCACAGCUGCCUACAGAGCCUCACAUGCCUUGUCUCACUGACGCUGAAGAAAUGUCCGGGUCUAACAUUCAUUCCAGAACAAGUAUGGAGCAGUAGCCUCAAAUCACUGGAGCAACUGUUGAUUGCACAAUGUCCAGACCUUGUGUCAAUCGGUGGAGCAAGGGCAAUCGCAGAAGUGCCGACGGUGUACAUUACCAACUGUCCAAAGUUGGAGGACCUAAAGCAGCUGACGAGAGGAUCUCACUUUAACUGGUGA